This 511-nucleotide ribosomal RNA is filed under the name uncultured bacterium. RNAcentral describes it as "partial 16S ribosomal RNA". It matches the Rfam family "Bacterial small subunit ribosomal RNA", at positions 28 to 508 of the family's 1533-position model. The record is from RNAcentral.
GACGAACGCUGGCGGCGUGCUUAACACAUGCAAGUCGAACGAAGAGCGAUGGAAGCUUGCUUCUAUCAAUCUUAGUGGCGAACGGGUGAGUAACGCGUAAUCAACCUGCCCUUCAGAGGGGGACAACAGUUGGAAACGACUGCUAAUACCGCAUACGAUCUAAUCUCGGCAUCGAGGAAAGAUGAAAGGUGGCCUCUAUUUAUAAGCUAUCACUGAAGGAGGGGAUUGCGUCUGAUUAGCUAGUUGGAGGGGUAACGGCCCACCAAGGCGAUGAUCAGUAGGCCGGUCGGAGAGGAUGAACGGCCAAAUGGGGACGGAAACACGCCCCAGACCCCUGGGGGGGGGAGCAGUGGGGAUGCUUCCGCAGUGGACGAAAGUCGGACGGGGAAACCCCGCGUGGUGGAUGCCGGCCUUCGGGUUGAAAAGGUCUGUUAACGGGGAGGAAAGGACUUCUUGCGAAAAUUUAGAAGGAUUGCGGGUACGGGAAAAGAAAGCCACGGCAAACUACGGC